Aphidius gifuensis is the source of this 1122-nucleotide long non-coding RNA. RefSeq lists it as uncharacterized. The transcript has 3 exons. NCBI's taxonomy places the organism in Eukaryota, Metazoa, Arthropoda, Insecta, Hymenoptera, Braconidae. The record is from RefSeq and is a predicted model, not a curated record.
UCCGCGCUCCUGCUAUUUUCAUUAAUUUUAAUAGUUUAAUUGCGUUAAACAAUUGUAAAUUUAUAAUAAAUUGCUUCGUUAAGUUUUUGUGAAUCGAUAGAGUGGUAAUUUAUUGGGCAAUGUUGCUAAUUUUAGUCAAAAAAUGUAUUUUGCCGGUCGGAGCUGUCAAGCCCUUUGUCUUGUCUACCAAGUUUUGCAAAUAAAUCAUUAAGAUCCAAAAAGGUGGCUAUAAGUUAUUUGGACAAUAUGGGUUGAACAAUAGUUGAGUCAGUUAUAUUUCAUUGGUAUAACAGUCAAGCCGGGAUCAUGUUUAAAUACAUAUGAGAUACUGUAAAUCAACUCAUGAUGUAGAUGUUAAUAAACACGUCAAUUUAUUUCAACAAAACUAAUUGUUGUUGUACCAAUUAAAGUAUCUAAUGUAACAAUGAUGCUCAUGCUAAUAAAGGUACGUUGGUUUGGUUAUUCUUCGACAUUUAAAAUCAUCCAGUAAAUUUUAUAUGAAAUUCAUUCAAUUGUUAUUUAUGUAAAUUGAGUGUAUUUCAUAUGCUAUGACUGAACCGCAAAAUGAAAAAAAUUUAGUCAAAGAUUAUUCACUAUUAAAUAAACUAUAAUAGUAGAUUAAUUUUGAUUUAAAGCUUUAUCAGUUUGCGUUAUUUAUUAAAAAUAUACCAGAGCCAAUUGUCAAACGGUUACAUUGUUACAUUGAGCCAAAGCUUAAGAAAAAAAGUAAAAGCGUAAUUAGAUAAGCUCAUAGAAUUUGUUAACUAUAAACUAAAGAAAAAAAAAAGUGUCAAGUCAACAAGAACUGAUGCUUGACAAGUGACAAGACCACAUGAUAAAAAUGUCAAGAACCACAGAUUGGCUUCCAAGGAUAUUGAUGUAGAUCAACUAUUAAGACCAAGACAGCAUUUAUUAAAAGGGACAACAGUACCAUAUAGUGAUGACAUGGUAUUACAUAUAUUUCAACACCAUAAAAUGCAUUCAAAACAACACCAGUAGCAGAUCAACAUCAUGUUGACUGAAAUGAGUCAUGUUGUUGUAUCUUGUUGUCAUAAUUCAUCUGUGAACCCUGUGAAGUACAUAUUUGUAAUACGUCUAGUUAUACAAUACAUUGAAAUUACA